This 254-nucleotide ribosomal RNA is filed under the name uncultured bacterium. RNAcentral describes it as "partial 16S ribosomal RNA". It matches the Rfam family "Bacterial small subunit ribosomal RNA", at positions 524 to 776 of the family's 1533-position model. The record is from RNAcentral.
UACAGAGGUCUCAAGCGUUUGUUCGGAUUCAUUGGACGUAAAGGGUGCGUAGGUGGCGCCGUAAGUCGGGUGUGAAAUUUCGGAGCUUAACUCCGAAACUGCAUUCGAUACUGCGGUGCUUGAGGACUGGAGAGGAGACUGGAAUUCAUGGUGUAGCAGUGAAAUGCGUAGAGAUCAUGAGGAAGACCAGUGGCGAAGGCGGGUCUCUGGACAGUUCCUGACACUGAGGCACGAAGGCCAGGGGAGCAAACGGG